GCGGAGGGGGCGGUGUAGGGACCCGAGGAGGGAAGAGGACUCCAAGCGCCAUGGCCGCUGCUGCCCGGGCCCGGGUCGCGUACUUGCUGAGGCAACUGCAACGCGCAGCGUGCCAGUGCCCAACUCAUUCUCAUACUUACUCCCAAGCCCCUGGACUUUCACCUUCUGGGAAAACAACAGAUUAUGCCUUUGAGAUGGCUGUUUCAAAUAUUAGAUAUGGAGCAGGAGUUACAAAGGAAGUGGGAAUGGACCUAAAAAACAUGGGUGCUAAAAAUGUGUGCUUGAUGACAGACAAGAACCUCUCCAAGCUCCCUCCUGUGCAAGUAGCUAUGGAUUCCCUAGUGAAGAAUGGCAUCCCCUUUACGGUUUAUGAUAAUGUGAGAGUGGAACCAACGGAUGCAAGCUUCAUGGAAGCUAUUGAGUUUGCCCAAAAGGGAGCUUUUGAUGCCUAUGUUGCUGUCGGUGGUGGCUCUACCAUGGACACCUGUAAGGCUGCUAAUCUGUAUGCAUCCAGCCCUCAUUCUGAUUUCCUAGAUUAUGUCAGUGCCCCCAUUGGCAAGGGAAAGCCUGUGUCUGUGCCUCUUAAGCCUCUGAUUGCAGUGCCAACUACCUCAGGAACCGGGAGUGAAACUACUGGGGUUGCCAUUUUUGACUAUGAACACUUGAAAGUAAAAAUUGGCAUCACUUCGAGAGCCAUCAAACCCACACUGGGACUGAUUGAUCCUCUGCACACCCUCCACAUGCCUGCCCGAGUGGUCGCCAACAGUGGCUUUGAUGUGCUUUGCCAUGCCCUGGAGUCAUACACUACCCUGCCCUACCACCUGCGGAGCCCCUGCCCUUCAAAUCCCAUCACACGGCCUGCGUACCAGGGCAGCAACCCAAUCAGCGACAUUUGGGCUAUCCACGCGCUGCGGAUUGUGGCUAAGUAUCUGAAGAGGGCUGUCAGAAAUCCCGAUGAUCUUGAAGCAAGGUCUCAUAUGCACUUGGCAAGUGCUUUUGCUGGCAUCGGCUUUGGAAAUGCUGGUGUUCAUCUGUGCCAUGGAAUGUCUUACCCAAUUUCAGGUUUAGUGAAGACGUAUAAAGCAAAGGAUUACAAUGUGGAUCACCCACUGGUGCCCCAUGGCCUUUCUGUGGUGCUCACGUCCCCAGCGGUGUUCACUUUCACGGCCCAGAUGUUUCCAGAGCGACACCUGGAGACGGCAGAAAUACUGGUUAGGGCAAGAAGCGAAAGGCUGAAAAGAAAACUUCAUUAUGCUCUCCUAGCCCAGCCGUUGGAGAGAUUCUUUCCAGGGAGGUAGGAAGGACCGCAGACAUCCUCCUGCAGGAGCUCCCGCUGAGUCCCAGGAGCCGACACCCACACUGCCAGGAUCCAAGAUGCAGGGCUGGUGUUGGCAGACGCGCUCCGGAAAUUCUUAUUCGAUCUGGAUGUUGAUGAUGGCCUAGCAGCUGUUGGUUACUCCAAAGCUGAUAUCCCCGCACUAGUGAAAGGAACGCUGCCCCAGGAAAGGGUCACCAAGCUUGCACCCCGUCCCCAGUCAGAAGAGGAUCUGGCUGCUCUGUUUGAAGCUUCAAUGAAACUGUAUUAAUUGUCAUUUUAACUGAAAGAAUUACCGCUGGCCAUUGUAGUGCUGAGAGCAAGAGCUGAUCUAGCUGGGGCUUUGUCUUUUCAUCUUUGCGCAUAACUUACCUGUUACCAGUAUAGGUGGGAUAUACAUUUAUCUUGCAGGAAAUUCCCCAAAGCUCAGAGUCCAGUUCCUUCCAUAAAACAGGCUGGACAAAUGACCACUAUGUUAGACCCCCAGGCUCGACUUCAGGGGUCAGUGUUCCUGUCCCAAACCCCACACAGAAUACUCUGCCUCUGCUUCAUGUAGCAAAUGAGCAAAAACUCAGUAUCUAUCAAAAGUGUAAAUUAUAUUUCCUAUGCCUAGUAAUUCACUUCAUGUCUAAAAAUUUAUCUGAUAGAAACACUAGCACCAGUACAUACAGAAGCAUGGCAAGGAUGUUUCUGGCAGCACUUUUCUAAUAAUAAAAGAUUUGAAACAA
RNA transcript from Pan troglodytes (chimpanzee), 2043 nucleotides. It is a transcript of the gene named alcohol dehydrogenase iron containing 1, with no coding region annotated. The record is from RefSeq and is a predicted model, not a curated record. Lineage: Eukaryota; Metazoa; Chordata; Mammalia; Primates; Hominidae. The transcript is spliced from 15 exons.